AUGAACGCUGGCGGCGUGCCUAAUCCCUGCAAGUCGAGCGAACAGACGAGGAGCUUGCUCCUCUGACGUUAGCGGCGGACGGGUGAGUAACACGUGGAUAACCUACCUAUAAGACUGGGAUAACUUCGGGAAACCGGAGCUAAUACCGGAUAAUAUAUUGAACCGCAUGGUUCAAUAGUGAAAGACGGUUUUGCUGUCACUUAUAGAUGGAUCCGCGCCGCAUUAGCUAGUUGGUAAGGUAACGGCUUACCAAGGCGACGAUGCGUAGCCGACCUGAGAGGGUGAUCGGCCACACUGGAACUGAGACACGGUCCAGACUCCUACGGGAGGCAGCAGUAGGGAAUCUUCCGCAAUGGGCGAAAGCCUGACGGAGCAACGCCGCGUGAGUGAUGAAGGUCUUCGGAUCGUAAAACUCUGUUAUUAGGGAAGAACAAAUGUGUAAGUAACUAUGCACGUCUUGACGGUACCUAAUCAGAAAGCCACGGCUAACUACGUG
RNAcentral lists this ribosomal RNA (496 nucleotides) under uncultured bacterium. Its description in RNAcentral is "partial 16S ribosomal RNA". It matches the Rfam family "Bacterial small subunit ribosomal RNA", at positions 29 to 507 of the family's 1533-position model. The record is from RNAcentral.